Panicum virgatum (switchgrass) is the source of this 1270-nucleotide RNA transcript. It is a transcript of the gene named thylakoid lumenal 15.0 kDa protein 2, chloroplastic-like, with no coding region annotated. The record is from RefSeq and is a predicted model, not a curated record. The transcript has 5 exons. Lineage: Eukaryota; Viridiplantae; Streptophyta; Magnoliopsida; Poales; Poaceae.
GCACCAACCUCGUCGCCAUUAUCCGUUACCCGGACACGGCCGAGAGCCCUUCCCCUCCCUCGCGUCCGCUGCUGCGCCAGUCGGAUCUCACACCGCGCCGCCGCUGCUAGCGAGGCUACUCCUUCCUGGGCCGGCGAGCUCGCCAGCUCUGUGCCAUGGAAGGCCGCGGUCUCCGGCGCGCUCGCCCUCGCCGUUUGCUUCACUUGCUGUAAGCUCGCUUCGUUCUCAAGUUUGCGAUGCUUGGUGGAACAGUCCUGAGUAGAGGAUGGCUGGAGGAUAUUGGUGCUUAUAUCUUUUCUUGCUAGCAUGUCUAGUGAAAAAAGAAGCAUAAAUAUAUUUUUUAUCAGUAAAAUUGCCUUCUAUUUAUCAUAUAGUGUCAUGUCAUGUAACAUAUGGCACUUGCAGUCGUUGGUUCGGCCAAUGCUAGGACUGGGGUAAACAAACCAGAACUGCUUCCUAAAGAAUUUACUACCGUCAUUGAUGUUGCUGGUUUUCUUUCCUCAGGCCAGGAACAAGCAGAACAUUCUGGCUUAUAUAGGAUAAAAUUGUCUGAUGGAGGCACUUUACAUUCUACUGAUUGGAUUUCUUUAUGACCCGUUCGUAUAAUCUUGCAAUAUAUAUUUGAUGAAUAGUCAUGCCAACUCUUAUAUUAUAAUGAAGACGGAUACUUGUCUGGCUUACUUUUGUUCCACCUGAAAAACGCACCAUCUUGUUAUUUCCACAUCAAUUAUAGAUGUGGAUUGUUUGUUCUUAGGAAAACCGUUUGCGCCAAGAGAUAGAAGACCUGGAGAAGGAUACAGGGUACAAACUGCGAGUUCUUGCACAAAAUUAUCCCGAUACCCCUGGAUUGGCUAUCAAAGAUUUUUGGCAGGUUGAUGAGCGUACUAUUGUUUUUGUUGCUGAUCCAACCUUUGGCAACAUAAUAAAUUUCAACGUUGGCCCAUUAGUUGAUUUAGAUGUCCCUCGGAGCUUUUGGAGUCAGGUUUCAGGGGAGUAUGGGAACAUGUUCUACUGGAAAGAAAAGGGAGAGGAUGCAUCGAUUGAAGCUGCCGUGACGGAAAUUUCACGCUGUCUAAGAGACCCCAGCGGGACAAAUAAUUGUUCGGAGGUGCUAUAGGAAGCAAGGGGUUAUCGUUGCCGAAAGAAACAUGGAAAGUCUUCUGAACACGAUAUCCAGUAUACCAAAAAACUAUUAACAAAUUACUUCUGUGAAAAAAUAAUAAAAUCAUGGCGCAAUGACACAUACUACUAUGACUAGAUCACUAAAAAA